AUGCUUAGUAGCGGCGAGUGAGCGGCAAAAGCUCAAAUUUGAAAUCUGGCACCUUCGGUGUCCGAGUUGUAAUUUGAAGAUUGUAACCUUGGGGUUGGCUCUUGUCUAUGUUUCUUGGAACAGGACGUCACAGAGGGUGAGAAUCCCGUGCGAUGAGAUGCCCAAUCCUAUGUAAGGUGCUUUCGAAGAGUCGAGUUGUUUGGGAAUGCAGCUCUAAGUGGGUGGUAAAUUCCAUCUAAAGCUAAAUAUUGGCGAGAGACCGAUAGCGAACAAGUACAGUGAUGGAAAGAUGAAAAGAACUUUGAAAUGAGAGUGAAAAAGUACGUGAAAUUGUUGAAAGGGAAGGGUUUGAGAUCAGACUCGAUAUUUUGUGAGCCUUGCCUUCGUGGCGGGGUGACCCGCAGCUUAUCGGGCCAGCAUCGGUUUGGGCGGUAGGAUAAUGGCGUAGGAAUGUGACUUUGCUUCGGUGAAGUGUUAUAGCCUGCGUUGAUGCUGCCUGCCUAGACCGAGGACUGCGAUUUUAUCAAGGAUGCUGGCAUAAUGAUCCCAAACCGCCCGUCUUGA
RNAcentral lists this ribosomal RNA (564 nucleotides) under Meyerozyma guilliermondii. RNAcentral describes it as "partial large subunit ribosomal RNA". It matches the Rfam family "Eukaryotic large subunit ribosomal RNA", at positions 73 to 657 of the family's 3401-position model. Lineage: Eukaryota; Fungi; Ascomycota; Pichiomycetes; Serinales; Debaryomycetaceae. The record is from RNAcentral.